UCCCUUGUGGCUUAGUUGGUAAAGAAUCUGCCUGCAAUGCGGGAGACCUGGGUUCGAUCCCUGGGUUGGGAA
This 72-nucleotide transfer RNA is filed under the name Bos taurus (domestic cattle). It matches the Rfam family "tRNA". From Rfam's summary of the family: Transfer RNA (tRNA) molecules are approximately 80 nucleotides in length. Their secondary structure includes four short double-helical elements and three loops (D, anti-codon, and T loops). Further hydrogen bonds mediate the characteristic L-shaped molecular structure. tRNAs have two regions of fundamental functional importance: the anti-codon, which is responsible for specific mRNA codon recognition, and the 3' end, to which the tRNAs corresponding amino acid is attached (by aminoacyl-tRNA synthetases). tRNAs cope with the degeneracy of the genetic code in two manners: having more than one tRNA (with a specific anti-codon) for a particular amino acid; and 'wobble' base-pairing, i.e. permitting non-standard base-pairing at the 3rd anti-codon position. The record is from Rfam by way of RNAcentral. RNAcentral also lists the same sequence under 3 other names. Lineage: Eukaryota; Metazoa; Chordata; Mammalia; Artiodactyla; Bovidae.